RNAcentral lists this ribosomal RNA (1328 nucleotides) under Osmia pedicornis. RNAcentral describes it as "16S ribosomal RNA". Lineage: Eukaryota; Metazoa; Arthropoda; Insecta; Hymenoptera; Megachilidae. The record is from RNAcentral.
AUUAAUAUAAUAAAAUUUUAAUAAUUGAUUUUAUAUAUAUAUAUAAUAUUAAAAAAAAUUUUUUAUAAAAGUUAAAAAAGUUAAAGUAAAUUUUUAGAAAAAAUAAAUUGUAUUUAUAAUUUAAGUAAUGUUAAUGAAAAUUUUAAAUUUAGAUAAAUAAAAAAAAAUUUUGUACCUUUUGUAUCAGGGUUAAUUAAAUAAUUUUUAAAUAAUUAAAUAUCUCGAAAUUAAAAGAAUUAAAUAUAUAAAAUUUUUUUUGUGAAAUAAAAAUUAUAAAUAUAUAUUUAGAGAUUAAAUGUUAUUCAAUUUUAAUGAUAUCUAGUUUUUUUUGAAUUAAAUUUAAUUUAUAUAUUUUUUAAAAAUAAAUUUUAUUAAAAAAUUUUAUUUUAUAAAAUAUAAAUAAUUUAUGGGAUAAACUAUAAAUUAAUUAUAUAAUAAUUUAAUUUAAAACUUAAAAGAAAUUAUUUUUAAAAUUUAAAAAUAUUUAAUAAGUAUUUAAUAAUUUAUUAAUAAAUUUAAUUAUAUUUUAUAUAUUUUUAUAAAUAUAAAGUAAAAAUUUAUUGUAUAUAUAAAUUAAAAAAAAAAUAAUUUUAAUAAUUUAAAUUAUAUUAAAAUGAUUAAAUUAGUAAUUUAAUUUGUUUAAAAUUAUUUUAUAAAAAAAAUAUUUUUAAGUAAUUAGGCAAAAUAAUUAUAUUCACCUGUUUAACAAAAACAUGUCUUUUUGAUUUUAAUAUAAAGUCAGUUCUGCUCAAUGAAAAAUUAAAUAGCUGCAGUAUUUUAACUGUACGAAGGUAGCAUAAUCAUUUGUCUUUUAAUUGAAGGCUAGAAUGAAUGAAUUAAUGAAAUAUAAACUGUCUCAGUUAUAUAAAAUAAAUUUAAAUUUUAAGUUAAAAUGCUUAAUUUUAUUUAAGGGACGAUAAGACCCUAUAGAAUUUUAUAUAUUACAAAUUUUAUAAAUUUUAAUAAUAUAUUUAGUUGGGAGGAUUUUUAAAUUUAAUUAACUUUAAAGUUUUAAAAAUAUUGAUUUAUAGAAAUUUAAUUGAAAUAUAUUAUAAGAUAUAAUAAGAGAAUAGAUUACCUUAGGGAUAACAGCGUAAUAUUUUUGGAAAGAUCAAAUUGAAAAAAUUGUUUGCGACCUCGAUGUUGAAUUAAAAUAAAUUAUAAAUGUAGGCGUUUAUAAAUUUAGUCUGUUCGACUAUAAAAAUUUUACAUGAUUUGAGUUCAGAUCGACGUGAGUCAGAUUGGUUUCUAUCUUUAAAAAAAUUUAAGAUUUUUGUACGAAAGGACUAAAUUUAAUAAAUAAUUUAUAUAAAAAUUAAUUAAUUAAA